RNAcentral lists this ribosomal RNA (398 nucleotides) under uncultured bacterium. RNAcentral describes it as "bacterial SSU rRNA". It matches the Rfam family "Bacterial small subunit ribosomal RNA", at positions 521 to 916 of the family's 1533-position model. The record is from RNAcentral.
UAAUACGUAGGGGGCGAGCGUUGUCCGGAUUCAUUGGGCGUAAAGCGCGCGCAGGCGGCUUGGCAAGUCGGAUGUGAAAAUCCGGGGCUCAACCCCGGACGUGCAUCCGAAACUGCCAGGCUAGAGGCAGGUAGGGGAGAUCGGAAUUCCUGGUGUAGCGGUGAAAUGCGCAGAUAUCAGGAGGAACACCGGUGGCGAAGGCGGAUCUCUGGGCCUGUCCUGACGCUCAGGCGCGAAAGCUAGGGGAGCAAACAGGAUUAGAUACCCUGGUAGUCCUAGCCGUAAACGAUGGAUGCUAGGUGUGGGGGGACAUCGACCCCCUCCGUGCCGGAGCUAACGCAUUAAGCACCCCGCCUGGGGAGUACGGCCGCAAGGCUAAAACUCAAAGGAAUUGACGG